CCACUCCCAUCUCUGUAGUCUCCUUCAUUUUGACAUUCACAGAUCUGCCUAGAAACUGUGACAAGGGUUACAGUUACACGUAGGAGAGUUCUAGUCAGAGAAGUCUCCUACAUCAACUCCCGGACGUUAUUCUUCUCCCGGAAUGAAUCUUUCUCCGCCUGAAGGGAUGAACUCUUUUCUGUUGGAAAACCCCCACCUGUUACAUAAAGACGUUUAUUUCCCUAGGGGCUUGUCAUCUUCAGGGACUAUCUUUCCAGGAGGAAGGCUCUUUAAGAGUGGUUUUAAAAAUGUAACUCCGGGCCCGUGUGCGCGCCAGUGUUAAGCUUAGAUUGGGGGGAGGGAAGGAAGAAGGAUACAAUGAGUUGUUUGUGACCUUGAGCUAGGCGUUUAUUUCACUUCUCAGCCUUUGUAAAAUGGAGAGUGGAACUAAAAUGGAGUGUGGGACGAGCGGAUCCCUGGAAGGUCCCUCCACCCCUAGCUUUUGAGGAGGAAGCCGAGAGAAAGAACGAGGCAGAGCAGAGGGUCAGAAGAGAAACAUUGGAGAUUUUCUCAGCCUUGAAUGAAGCCUGGACUUCAGGAAUGUCAUUAACAGCAGGACUUUUCAUGAUCAAUUCCAGUAACCCAGAUCUCAAGAUACGCCUCAAUAAAAUUCAAGUAGCCCUCAUUGGAACAAAGCCUCCAUUUGGUGGGAGCCGACGCCUGAAGCCGGGGAAGUGACACCUGCCGGUGGAGCCUGGCCCUGCAGGCCGAAGUGAGCCCUGCCCCUCCCCCGCCCCCCACCGGGCUCCAGAGCUGUGACGUCACAGGGGAGUCAACAGGAUACUAUCCUCUCGCAUUCAUCCCAGGCAGGCCCUGAAAAGGAUGGAGAGCUGGGUCCAGAGGCAGGGAGACGAGUUACCAUCUGCCCUCCGAUUCUGAUGAGGAGGUCUGAGAGGAGAGAGGUCCUGGAGGGAGAGCUCCUGGAGAGAUCUUGAAGGAGGCAGUGGAAGGAGAACUCAGGAGGAGUCAGGAGGAGAAUUCUCUGGAAACAUUUCUUGAAAGGAGGGUCUCUUGAAGGUGGAGCCUGAGGUUGGCAUGAGAAGCCUUACCUAGAGAGAUCUUGGGUUAAUUUUGGGAAAAUGUGGAAAGACCUACAUGAAAUUAUGAAGAGUGAAAUGAAGAGCAACGAGAACAUUAUAUGCAGCCACAGAAAUAUUUUUUGAAGAAUGACUUGUGUAAGUCCACCUCUAGAGAGAAUGAACUGAUAAAUAGAAAUAGGUAAGAAAUUGUUUUAUAUAAACAUAUAUCUUUUUGUUAAGGUAUGCCUUUUCUAAUGGGAGUAGGGGAGGGUGAGAGAGAAUUAAUUGGAUAUUUUAAUUUAGCAAAGAAUAUUUCAAAAAAUUUAUUUAAAAUGUGUGCCUAAUCAAUUUUUUAAAAAGUUAUUAAUAUUCAUGCCUUUUAAUGUUAACAAGGUUGUAAAAAAGUUAUCUAGACCCUUCUAAACAUCUUGUCCUGUGCAUUUAUCAGGAUUUUGCUGCUGCUUUAUUUAUAUAUAGUCUGUUUACACUGAAUAUGUCACUAUGUAUGUAUAUUUUUUCUUUUGGUUCUGUUUUCUUCACUCUGUUUAAUAUUAUGAUCAUAUUUUAUUAACUUCUUUAUAAUUUUGCUGUUAUUAUUAUUGGUAAAAGAUUGUAUGAAUAUUUUUUUAUAGUGAUUCUUAGGUAAAUUCACACCCUUUCUAAAAAAAGAUUGAACUUAAAACUAUAGCAACUGUUUAUUAGGGUGUCAAUUUUCAACAGCUGCACCUAUGUAAUAUUAUUUUUCAAAACAUCUUUGACAAUUUGAUGACAAAUUGCUGAUGAUCGCCCCUUCUCUUGUCCAAUUGCUGUUCUAUAGCCCACUUGUAGGCAACAUGAGUCUUUCCAUUGGCCUUUGGAUUACUUGUAAUUUUACCUACAAUAUGCGAUGAAAAUGAGGUUAGAAAUUAUACUUACUGUUUGGCAAACUGGUUAUACAUUUUCAAAAACAAAUGUCCAGGCUAUUGUAACCAAGACUUACUCUUCACUUAUUUCAAGGACAUUGCUGUUGGCUUUAUUUCCAUAAGAUGUUUAGGAAUAAUCUUAUAUAUUUGAAAACAACCAAAAUAAAACACCACACUUUCAAUAUCUCCUGAAUUUUCUUUUGGACAGAGACCAUAUUCUUAUUCAAAUAUAUGAGAGGUAAGUAAGCCUCAGAAGAUAAAGGAAACUGAUUUACCUUCUUUCUCUAGAUUCAUUGGGUAAAAUACAUUUGUAGCACAAUGCUAUUAUCUUUUAAAAUUUGCUUUGAUGAGGCUUUACUUUCAUUUAGAAUACAAAAUAUUCACAUCAUUUCUCCUUUCCUUCCUUCCCUGACAUCUCUCCCACACUUGCUACUAAGGGGAGAAAUAGAAAACUACAUGAGAAAAAACUGUGUGAAUUCCAAUAUCUGUAAUUUUUAUUAAUAGAAAACUAAAAGUAGAAAAUGUAUUUUGAAAUGGUCAAAUUUCAUACAAAAUUCCACAAUACUGUGUACCAGAUUACCAUAAUACCUUCCACUGAGUGUUCUCUGAUGUUUCUUGUGGUCCCCAGCCAAAGCAUAAUUUUGUCUCAUUUCUCACUCCCAACAUGAGCUAUUGUGAAGUCUGCUGUUAAAACCAAGAAUUUUCUAUGAAGUCAGAUGCUUAAAAUCGGUGGCCAUUCUCUUCUAUGUCUUCUUGAUGGCAAACAUCUCCAUAGUUGGUCCAUAACCAUGCAAGUUGAGUGAAGUCAAGGGUAGACCUUAACAAGGAGCAGUACUAUAGUUAAACAAGACCCAUAGAUUUCCCAUUUGAAUAGCAAGAAGCCACUCUAGACAGAAGGUCUAUUAGUAUAACAAAUAAAGAAAAAAUGUUAAAAAAAAACCAAACCAUUGAAACCUUUUCUAGCAAUCUUAGUAAUGAUUUGAGAGUCAAUCAACAAACAUUACUUAGGUUUGCUUUAUAGAAAUUUCAAUAAAAAUAUAAAGAAUCCUUGUUUUCAAAGGACUUAUAUUCUGUUUAGAGGAUAUAACAAGUUUACAAUUAAGUAGAACCCUAGUCUUUUUCUUGAAAUCUUAUGGGAUUACAUUCUACUUCCAAGUGUACAUUCCUAUUAUUGCAAAUAAUAAAAUUGAUGGCUCUGUUGUCA
This is a long non-coding RNA of Monodelphis domestica (gray short-tailed opossum), 3164 nucleotides long. RefSeq lists it as uncharacterized. Lineage: Eukaryota; Metazoa; Chordata; Mammalia; Didelphimorphia; Didelphidae. The record is from RefSeq and is a predicted model, not a curated record.